Molecule: long non-coding RNA, 251 nt
Organism: Epinephelus fuscoguttatus (brown-marbled grouper)
Lineage: Eukaryota; Metazoa; Chordata; Actinopteri; Perciformes; Serranidae
Exons: 3
Source: RefSeq, a predicted model, not a curated record
GCAGUCCCUCAGACAGACAGACAGACAGACGGAGUGGAUGUACCUGAGGACAGACAGUCUGACAGCAGCUGAGACACAUUAAAGUUCCCGGAGGUCACUUUAACAAAGUCAGCUCGCUGCUCUGAUGGCAUGUAGCUGAAGUGACUGAUGCAGAGCCCCGUUAGGAAAUAGAGACAUUUGAAGAUCCCGUGCUGCCUUUCUCCACCAAAACACGCCCAAGCAGCGGCAGCGAGGCAGCGCCGACAGACAGG